AACGAACGCUGGCGGCGUGCCUAACACAUGCAAGUCGUGCGAGAAAGUUUCCUUCGGGGAGCGAGUAAAGCGGCGCACGGGUGAGUAACACGUAGGUAACCUACCUUUCAGUCCGGAAUAACCAGCUGAAAAGCUGGCUAAUGCCGGGUGAGACCACGAUCUCUGCGGGGAUCGCGGCCAAAGGCGGCCUCUUCAUGAAAGCUGAUGCUGAGAGAUGGGGCCUGCGACCAUUAGCUAGUUGGUGAGGUAACGCUCACCAAGGCUUUGAUGGUUAGCUGGUCUGAGAGGAUGACCAGCCACACUGGGACUGAGACACGGCCCAGACUCCUACGGG
RNAcentral lists this ribosomal RNA (334 nucleotides) under uncultured bacterium. RNAcentral describes it as "bacterial SSU rRNA". It matches the Rfam family "Bacterial small subunit ribosomal RNA", at positions 29 to 345 of the family's 1533-position model. The record is from RNAcentral.